UCUUGGAUAUGUUUUAUAAAUUUAAGGUCAAUUUAAUUGUUAGAUAGAAGAAUAUGAAAGUUUUAUUGGAUUAAAUCUAAGAUAUUUGAAUUUUAGGAUCAAUGAGGUCUUUUGCAAUUUUAAAAAAUCAGCUAAUUUGAUCAAAGAAAAACUUUGUAAAAGCAUAUUAAGCUUUAGUAUCUACAAAUUUGUAAAAUUUGACAGAAAUUGAAUGAUUUGACAAGGAGAAAUUGAUGUUGAAAAAUCAAAAUCUGAGUUGGAGAAGGAGAAUGGUUAAUAUCUAAGAAUUUUAGGAGUUUUUUCUCUUAAUUGAUAACUUCAAUUUUCUUCAAAAUUUGUGUGCUUAAUAUUUUUUGUGGAUUAAAAUACGGAU
Molecule: long non-coding RNA, 373 nt
Filed under: Physcomitrium patens
Lineage: Eukaryota; Viridiplantae; Streptophyta; Bryopsida; Funariales; Funariaceae
Description: long non-coding RNA (PPAT_LNC005462)
Source: RNAcentral